Haliotis rubra (blacklip abalone) is the source of this 372-nucleotide long non-coding RNA. RefSeq lists it as uncharacterized. The record is from RefSeq and is a predicted model, not a curated record. The transcript has 2 exons. NCBI's taxonomy places the organism in Eukaryota, Metazoa, Mollusca, Gastropoda, Lepetellida, Haliotidae.
CAAAACCCAACAGCGCUGUCACGGAUUGAUGGCAUAUUUCUAUAUCGGGUUCUGUUUUGAAGGCGCAUAUGCAGUGGCUGGGUGUUUCUGCGAGGGCCAGAUAUAUAAUGAAGCACUGGCCUUCCUGAUCGUCAUGUGGAUUGUCCCGUUCAUCAUCAUAUGUCUGGUCGCAGCGAUAAUAGACGAGAACUAACCACGUGUAACAGAUGCUGACAACUCAUCACCUCACAGUGAACGAAACAAGUAGUAUGAGGACCGUGACUGGCCAACUCAACAAAUGUACAAGCUGUGAAGUAAAACCGACAUCGCCCUUUCAAAGAAAUAACUUGAAAUGUGAAAAUAUAAUUUUAUCAGAUAAAUCUUUUAUCAUUU